Molecule: ribosomal RNA, 719 nt
Filed under: uncultured Candidatus Poseidoniales archaeon
Lineage: Archaea; Methanobacteriati; Thermoplasmatota; Candidatus Poseidoniia; Candidatus Poseidoniales
Description: bacterial SSU rRNA
Rfam family: Archaeal small subunit ribosomal RNA
Source: RNAcentral
UUCCGGUUGAUCCUGCCAGAGGCGACCGCUUUUGGAGUUCGAUUAAGCCAUGCGAGUCGAGAGCCUUAGGGGCUCGGCAUACUGCUCAGUAACACGUGGAUAACCUGCCCUAUUGUCUGGAAUAACCUCGGGAAACUGAGAACAAGGCCGGAUAACCCACAAUGCCUGGAACGGUUUGUGGGUGAAGAUAGGAUGGGUCUGCGGCGUAUCAGGUCGUAGGGGGUGUAAUGGACCUCCUAGCCAUCGACGCGUACGGGUGUUGGGAGACAUAGCCCGGAGAUGGAUUCUGAGACACGAAUCCAGACCCUACGGGGUGCAGCAGGCGCGAAAACUUCACACUGCAGGAAACUGUGAUGAGGGAACUCCAAGUGCAUUCACUAUGUGGAUGCUUUUUUUGACUAUUAAUCGGUCAACGAAUAAGGGCUGGGAAAGACCGGUGCCAGCCGCCGCGGUAAUACCGGCAGCUCAAGUGGUCGUCGCUUUUAUUGGGCCUAAAACGUCCGUAGCCUGUUUGGUAAAUCUGUGGGUAAAUCAACCAGCUUAACUGGUUGAAUUCUGCAGAGACUGCCAGACUAGGGACCGGGAGAGGUGUGGGGUACUCUAGGGGUAGGGGUAAAAUCCUGUCAUCCUUAGAGGACCACCAGUUGCGAAGGCGCCACACUGGAACGGAUCCGACGGUCAGGGACGAAGCCUAGGGGCACGAACCGGAUUAGAUACCC